This 512-nucleotide ribosomal RNA is filed under the name uncultured bacterium. RNAcentral's name for it is "partial 16S ribosomal RNA". The record is from RNAcentral.
GGAGUUAGCCGGUGCUUCUUCUGCGAGUAACGUCACAGAUGUAAGGUAUUAACUUACACCCUUUCCUCCUCGCUGAAAGUGCUUUACAACCCGAAGGCCUUCUUCACACACGCGGCAUGGCUGCAUCAGGGUUUCCCCCAUUGUGCAAUAUUCCCCACUGCUGCCUCCCGUAGGAGUCUGGGCCGUGUCUCAGUCCCAGUGUGGCUGAUCAUCCUCUCAGACCAGCUAGGGAUCGUCGCCUAGGUGAGCCUUUACCUCACCUACUAGCUAAUCCCACCUGGGCUUAUCCAUCAGCGCAAGGCCCGAAGGUCCCCUGCUUUCCCCCGUAGGGCGUAUGCGGUAUUAGCAGUCGUUUCCAACUGUUAUCCCCCACAAAUGGGCAAAUUCCCAGGCAUUACUCACCCGUCCGCCGCUCGUCAUCUUCAAAAGCAAGCUUUUGAAAUGUUACCGCUCGACUUGCAUGUGUUAGGCCUGCCGCCAGCGUUCAAUCUGAGCCAGAAAUCGAACCCUGA